RNAcentral lists this ribosomal RNA (438 nucleotides) under uncultured prokaryote. Its description in RNAcentral is "bacterial SSU rRNA". It matches the Rfam family "Bacterial small subunit ribosomal RNA", at positions 338 to 774 of the family's 1533-position model. The record is from RNAcentral.
CCUACGGGGGCUGCAGUGAGGAAUAUUGGUCCAUGGGCGGCAGCCUGAACCAGCCAUCCCGCGUGAAGGAAGAAUGCGCUAUGCGUUGUAAACUUCUUUUUCAGGGGGAUAAAAUUCUGUAUGUAUACAGGACUGAAGGUACCCUGAGAAUAAGCAUCGGCUAACUCCGUGCCAGCAGCCGCGGUAAUACGGAGGAUGCGAGCGUUAUCCGGAUUUAUUGGGUUUAAAGGGUGCGUAGGCGGAAUAAUAAGUCAGUGGCGAAACCCUGAAGCUUAACUGUAGACUUGCCAUUGAUACUGUUUUUCUUGAGUAUUGUCAAGGCAGGCGGAAUGUGUAAUGUAGCGGUGAAAUGCUUAGAUAUUACACAGAACACCGAUAGCGAAGGCAGCUUGCUGGGCCGUUACUGACGCUGAUGCGCGAAAGCGUGGGGAUCGAACA